GGGUCCGGAAAUAUUUAAAUUAUUUCCGGAGGAAUUUGAUGGUCGGGCCGCCAUCU
Non-coding RNA from Omnitrophica WOR_2 bacterium, 56 nucleotides. NCBI's taxonomy places the organism in Bacteria, Pseudomonadati, Candidatus Omnitrophota. The record is from Rfam.